This 305-nucleotide ribosomal RNA is filed under the name uncultured bacterium. RNAcentral describes it as "partial 16S ribosomal RNA". It matches the Rfam family "Bacterial small subunit ribosomal RNA", at positions 505 to 809 of the family's 1533-position model. The record is from RNAcentral.
ACAGCAGCAGCCGCGGGAAUACGAAGGGUGCAAGCGUUACUCGGAAUUACUGGGCGUAAAGCGUGCGUAGGUGGUGGUUUAAGUCCGUUGUGAAAGCCCUGGGCUCAACCUGGGAAUUGCAGUGGAUACUGGGUCACUAGAGUGUGGUAGAGGAUAGUGGAAUUUCCGGUGUAGCAGUGAAAUGCGUAGAGAUCGGAAGGAACAUCUGUGGCGAAGGCGACUAUCUGGGCCAACACUGACACUGAGGCACGAAAGCGUGGGGAGCAAACAGGAUUAGAUACCCCAGUAGUCCCUGUCUCUUAUAA